This is a non-coding RNA of Callithrix jacchus (white-tufted-ear marmoset), 346 nucleotides long. NCBI's taxonomy places the organism in Eukaryota, Metazoa, Chordata, Mammalia, Primates, Cebidae. The record is from Rfam.
AAUUGAGAGCAAGCUGGCUGUGACACCUGUCAACCCCACUGAUAGCCAGAAUUGAUUUGCUGGAUCUGUCCUCCUAAGAUGGUGUCCUGUUUCUUCCUGGCUCUGCCACAUGUGUUGUUCCAAAAGCUGGACACUUCACUGGAGAGGAUGAUUUUUCUAGAUGGAGAAAGACAACUGUCUACAGAGAAUCAAGUUCUUCUGCUGGAAUAUUCAAGGCAUGUUGAGUAGGUUCCCCUGCCUGACUGGUUCUCUCCCAGUGAUUAAGAUAAUGAGCCACUUGAAGGCAGAGAUUUCAUCUUUGUGUCUGCAGCCCCCUAGUGCCAUGCCUGGCAUGUAGUUAAUUCUU